This is a small nucleolar RNA of Cynocephalus volans (Philippine flying lemur), 143 nucleotides long. RefSeq annotates it as small nucleolar RNA SNORA79. The transcript has a single exon. The record is from RefSeq and is a predicted model, not a curated record. NCBI's taxonomy places the organism in Eukaryota, Metazoa, Chordata, Mammalia, Dermoptera, Cynocephalidae.
UGAUGGCUGUUCCUCUCACUGUGUGGAGCCUUAAGCAGUGGGAUUUUGGUCCAUCACAUAUCAAAGCUAGCUGGCUUGUCUUUACUCAGGGGAUGGGUUGGCUGUCCAUUAGUGCCUUCUGAUUUUUGCAAAGUCAAACAAUU